Long non-coding RNA from Zophobas morio, 266 nucleotides. RefSeq lists it as uncharacterized. The record is from RefSeq and is a predicted model, not a curated record. Lineage: Eukaryota; Metazoa; Arthropoda; Insecta; Coleoptera; Tenebrionidae. The transcript has 3 exons.
GUUUCAAGAAGCUCAAGUUUUGUAUCUUAACGGCACCACCGUGUCUAACUUGGAACUUUUUUGCAAUCAAUUUGACGGUCUGGAGUUUGGCUCUCUAUUUUGGGUGAUAAACAAAACUCGAAGCGUAAUUGGUAGAAGAAAACUUAAGCAGUGGAUGUGCAGGCCUUUAGCUUCAUCCUAUGAAAUAAACAAACGUUUGGACGCUAUUGAAAAACUUCGCGAGUGUAAAUAUUUGGAAAGUUUAAAGGAAUUGUUGUUAAGAGUUC